AUACCCAAGCUUCACUAGGGCUUAUUCCCAUAAUGAUCCUGUGUUGAUUAUCAUUACGCCCAAACACUACCAUAAUCUAUUGGGAUAUACCAAAUUUUCCUAUUGUUCAGAGAGCAUUGUGCCAUUUUAGGGGUGGGCAAAAUGUUAUCUGAAAGAACUACAAACCUUUAGAUAACAUUCCUUUCAUUGGACAAUGCCUGUGUGACAUUUUAGGCAUCGUGUCUCUGUUGUAAAACCACAUUUCCACAUUUCCAGGCUUCUGGCUCCAUUUCUCUGUAACAUAAGUGUCACAGGUAUUUUUUCCCCCCACAGCUACAGCUGCUUCAUAGAUAUGGCUAUUCCUGGACCAAGACAACCUGUUCACAAUGACCCAUUCUCUUCGCUUGAGUAUUUUAACACAUUAAUAGUUGGGAUGCCCUUGAAAAUGGUCCAGACUCUACAAAAAAAUAAUUGUGGCCACCAUGAUGUUGAGCAACAUAGCCUAUCACAACCGCAUAUCAUUGGUAUUACAAGAUCUGCACUGGUUGUCUGAAUGCUACCAGGGCCAACUGAAGGUGUUGCUGCUAAUAUAUAAAACCCAGAAUGACUUGGGACUCUGAUAUCUGAAGAAGCACCUCUCCCUUUAUCAACCUGACUGGGCCCUGAGGUCUGCAAGAAAGGCCUUUCUGAAGGUCCCACCAGUUAGACAUUGGGUGAUGACUCAGGGUCUUUUAUGUGGUUGCAUCUUGGUUACUGAACUCCAUUCGGCACCAACAAUGCAUGGAGGGGUACACCUGACAAUCUAUCUGUUCAUUAAGUAUUUUGGGUGAUCCGAGUAGCACAUUUGUAAGGUAGCCUGCCUUUCUGCUGUUGGUUUGACGUGGGUUAUCAUUUUAAUUUGUUAAAUUGCAUUUUGAUGAUAAAGUUCAAUGUUUGUAAACUGUUCUAGAGUUGUUUAUGAUUAGGAAUGGUAUAUAAAUCAAUUGAAUAAAUAUUAUGUUGAUGUCCUCCCUCCAAGCAGGGUGCCAGCUGAGUGAGAAAGAGCUACAGAACUGAGACCAUCAACUUUAAUGUUUCAUUCAUUCAUUCUCUCUCUCUCUCUCUCUCUCUCUCUCUCACACACACACACACACACACACACAUUGUGGGAUCACACCUUACAGAAUUGGUUCCCACUUGGCUAUAAAGGCACAUCAAAAGGGCUAUAAUCUGAAUGAUAUGGUUGAAAAGGUGGCAUAAUGUGAAUUGGUAUGUAGAGAAUCCAUUCUACCUAGGGACUUGGGGUUGGAGAGCAUGAAGUCCAGGUCAAAUAAAAUCUAGUCCUGUAAUUCUGUGAUCAUGCUCGGUUUUUCUUCUCCUCAAAAUAGACCUAUUAGGCUAGUUGAAGUAAAUCUGAAAGGCAUGGCCUCUACACUUGAUGACAGGAGAUAAAGAUGGAUUUGGGAGUCUAAGAAAAAGUUAGGCCUUGAGGGCGGAAAAUCAUAUUGUGCAGCCUGUAAGAUGCAGCCAUUUUUCAAAAUAGUUUUCCAUACUUCGCUGACAUGAAUUAUGUAUUAAUGUUUCCUGGUUUCAUCACAAGGAGCGUAUGAAUAUUCACAAAUUAUUCUCUUGUGUAACCAUGAAUAUGCAUGGUCGAGCCAAGAAUGGCAAAGUGUAGAACCUGAUCAUGAAUAUUUACAUCCUAUAUAAAGUUAAACCGUGUCACUGGAUGAUAUAGCACCUACUCUGAGAUUCCUCUCUUGGUAGUAGGUGAAGUGCUGCAAUAUGCUAAUGAAAUAACCACCAUUUGGCAUGGAGUUUAGUGAGGAAAUUCCCUCCUUCUUUAUAGUCGCAAACCUUUCCCCACCAGAGAAAAAGGGAUUAUUGAUUUCAUUUUUCAGCUGAAAGCAAAUAACUCUCUUACACAGCCAUUUCUGCCACCACCUUCCAUCCCACCAUUCCAAGCCAAACAGAAAUGUGACUCCAGGAAGGAAGGGGGGAAAGAGGAUGUGUUCAUAUUACUGUUUUAAAAGACAGUGAAGUUAUUUUCCCCUGAUGUGUUUCAAAUCACAUGUGUUUGUGGCUGCACACAUCAUUGUGGUUGGAGGUGUUCCCAAGUUGCCUGCUUUCUGUCCACACCAGUGGGCAGAGAAAAUGUGUAGAUGUCUUCCUUUGCCUUACAUUUUCAAAUAAGAUCAAAUCUGGUUUGGGGGGAGAACACAUGAAAAUGCAGUAUUUCUCAAGAAACUACAUUAUAGUGGGUAAUGUCAUAUGCACAAUGCUUCACAAAGCAACAGUGAGAGAGCACAGGAUGCAGAGCAAAUAGGAAUGUGCAUGCAGCAAGUAAAUUAGUUUUUACAUAGAAUCAUAGAAUUGUAGAGGUGGAAGGGACCAUGAAGGCCAUCUAGUCCAAACCCCUGCAAUGCAGGAAUCUUUUACCCAACAUGGGGCUGGAACCCACAUCCCCAUUAUUAAAAGUCUCAUACUCUACCAACUGAGUAAUCCCAGGCUAUAGCUAGUGGUCUGCAUUUGCCUUUUUUCAUUUCCAAUUUUUAUUCUCACAAAAGCAAUGGCAGGUAAAUUAGGCUGAGAAGUACUGACCUGCCCAAUGUCACUCAAUGAGCUUCGUGGCUGAGUGGGAAUUUGGAGUCCUUCCAACAUGCUACCUGCUACACCACAAAUGUAGUGAACAUUACUGACUUGAUGAGCCACAAGUAGUGCACAAAGUCUGACUGUGGUUGAAUUGUACCUUUCAUUUGCAAUAUUCUAGUCCUCCUUUUGUCAUUACAGUCAUACCUCAGGUUACAGACGCUUCAGGUUGUGUGUUUUUUUGGUUACGGACCGCCAAAACCAGGAAGUACCGGAACAGGUUACUUCCGGGUUUCGGUGGUCGCGCAUGUGCAGAAGCACUAAAUUGCACUUUGUGCAUGUGCAGAAGCACCGAAUCACAACCCACAUGUGCGCAGAUGCCCACACGGAUCAUGUUCGCAACCCGAGCGUCCAGUGUACUGCUUCUUAGGGAAUGACAUGAUUGCAAAGCAUGCACGUCCCUAGCCACAGAAAUUCAAGCAGAUUAUAAGAUCUUUAUUGAAACUAAGACAUAGACAUAAAUUAUAAAAGGAAACCAUAUCAAGGAAUGGGUAAACAGCAACAGAUGGAAACUUUAUUAAAAUAUAAUCUAAGCUGGUCUUGCCUGUGUACAGAUUACCAUCGCCAAAUAUUGCUGCGUGCAAAUGCGUGCCCAGAUCAUUCAGAAACAUAUGGAAUUUUUAGCUGUCACCUGAACAAUGGUACAAAAGGCUAGGGAGAACAUAGAAAUAUAGGGUGAGAUCCAACAGAACGCUAGCUGCAACAGCAAGUAUGGUUAGAAUGUUAGCUGUGCUAGGGGUUGUGCAAUAUCUUGCAUACGCACAAGGCAUUUAUUAGAUGCUUCUGUUAUGCUGUACUAGGAAAAGGGGCCCCACUAGCUCAUGCAUAGAUUGUUGGUUUCCCCCCCGUUCUUUAGCUGUAAAGCAUAUUCAAAAAUAAAUCAUUAAAAAAUAGGCAUAGGCCCAUUCAAAGGCCCACAUAGCUAAUUCUGUGGACUCAAGGGAGUGUUGGACUUGUGUUUCUCUAACAGUAUCCCCCUAUGGCAUACACUUUUGAAGCUGAGAAUGCAACCUUAUACCUCACUUAACUUGAGAAUGUGCCCCAUCUAACUUGAUAGGGACUGCUUUUGAAUAAGCAUGUUAUCAUCUUACACUGUUAGAGAGCUUUCAAAGCUAUUAAAUGCAUGACAUAAUGGUGGGAUGUUCAAAAAAGGAACAAACAAAAUAUGCCACUAAGGAUACCCAAGACUUUGGGUGCAUCUAAAUUAGUUUUUCAGAUCUUGGCUGUAAGGCAUACAAUUUCUGCAGAGAAUAGCUGCAUUUUUUAAAAAAGGAAAAAGUGGGGUGACCAGCGGCUUACAUCCUUCUCUUACUUAUUCAUUAAGCAUAAAAAUCAAACACUCAACUUGCUAUAUAUUUCAUUUAAAAUUCAAAAUCAGUUAGAGCCUUUCUUAGCUGUUACCUGUGCUCAGAUAGAUACUUGAAAGUUUCCAUUUAUCAGCUGGAGAACAGGGACUACAAGGAAUUUUACUGUUGCUUUUCCAUACAGUCAGUCCUUGAAGCAACCUCCAGAUUUUUACUUCUCUGGAACACAAUGUCAGUUCUGUCAGUUCUGUAAUCACAUUGUAAAUACAUUGGUAGGUGGAAGUCAGGUCAUGAAUAGGUGGAAGCAACCAUUUCAUGAAAAUUCUUCCUGCUUACCCACUACUUACCCAAGUGCCACCCAGCUGUUGCCUGGGAAGGGACUUCUCUGUAGUGGCACCUAACCUGGGGAAUGUCUAGCAUAGUGUGUCCCAUCAAGAGAAAUAUUUGAUGCCCUCUUGCAAAUAGGCAAAGGCCUACUUU
Molecule: long non-coding RNA, 4391 nt
Filed under: Podarcis lilfordi (Lilford's wall lizard)
Lineage: Eukaryota; Metazoa; Chordata; Lepidosauria; Squamata; Lacertidae
Source: RNAcentral